UAGGUGAUGCUGGGGCAGGUAAAUCCACUCCAGAUAUUAUAGCUGAAGGUGAGGGGAAGCUGAGGGGAGACCCGAGGCGACUUAGCUGAACCCAUGCCGCCAAGAAAAGCCUCGUUAUCUGUGAAGUAGCAGCGCCCGUACCGCAAACCGACUCUGGUAGGUAGGGAUGAGAGUCCUGAGGUGAUCGAGACAACCCUCGUUAAGGAACUCGGCAAUUUAGCCCCGUAACUUUGGGAGAAGGGGUACCCACGUAGGUGGGUGACACUAAAUGGGUCCAAGCGACUGUUUAACAAAAACAUAGGUCUCUGCUAAAGCGUAAGCUGAUGUAUAGGGGCUGACACCUGCCCAGUGCUGGAAGGUUAAGGGGAUGGGUUAGGAGCAAUCCAAAGCCCUGAACUGAAGCCCCAGUGAACGGCGGCCGUAACUAUAACGGUCCUAAGGUAGCGAAAUCCCUUGUCGGGUAAGUUCCGACCCGCACGAAUGGUGUAACGACUUGGGCGCUGUCUCAACGAGGGACUCGGCGAAAUUGAAAUACCCGUGAAGAUGCGGGUUACCCGCGACAGGACAAAAAGACCCCGUGGAGCUUUACUAUAGCUUGGCACUGGGUCUGAGUUCAUCAUGUGUAGCAUAGGUGGGAGGCUUUGAAGCCCUUCCGCUAGGAAGAGUGGAGCCACCGUUGAAAUACCACCCUUGAUGAGUUUUGCCUCUAACCCCAGAGCAAGCUGGGGGACAGUGUCUGGUGGGUAGUUUGACUGGGGCGGUCGCCUCCUAAAAGGUAACGGAGGCGCCCAAAGGUCCCCUCAGGGUGGAUGGAAACCACCCAUAGAGUGCAUUGGCAUAAGGGGGCUUGACUGUGAGACCUACAAGUCGAGCAGGGACGAAAGUCGGGCAAAGUGAUCCUACGGCUCCUUGUGGAAGGGCCGUGGCUUAACGGAUAAAAGCUACCCCGGGGAUAACAGGCUUAUCUUGCCCAAGAGUUCAUAUCGACGGCAAGGUUUGGCACCUCGAUGUCGGCUCGUCACAUCCUGGGGCUGGAGAAGGUCCCAAGGGUCCGGCUGUUCGCCGGUUAAAGCGGCACGCGAGCUGGGUUCAGACCGUCGUGAGACAGGUCGGUCUCUAUCCGUCGUGGGCGUCCGGAGAUUUGAGGAGAGCUCUCUCUAGUACGAGAGGACCGGCGUGGACAGACCUCUGGUGAUCCGGUUGUUCCGCCAGGAGCAUUGCCGGGUAGCUACGUCUGGAACGGAUAACCGAUGAAAGCAUCUAAGCGGGAAG
RNAcentral lists this ribosomal RNA (1272 nucleotides) under marine metagenome. RNAcentral's name for it is "bacterial LSU rRNA". It matches the Rfam family "Bacterial large subunit ribosomal RNA", at positions 1519 to 2792 of the family's 2925-position model. The record is from RNAcentral.